RNA transcript from Nerophis ophidion (straightnose pipefish), 1904 nucleotides. It is a transcript of the gene named 5'-nucleotidase, cytosolic II, like 1, with no coding region annotated. The record is from RefSeq and is a predicted model, not a curated record. NCBI's taxonomy places the organism in Eukaryota, Metazoa, Chordata, Actinopteri, Syngnathiformes, Syngnathidae. The transcript is spliced from 18 exons.
GCCUCCCCCACGCCCCGCUCGCUUAUCCCCCCCACUCCCCACCCUCGUGAACUCGACUGCUUGCCACAACAACAACAAGCUGACUUGUGCCCGUAAGCUAGUUUGGACGUGAUGGACACCCCAGAGGACUGCAAGAUGACCACAGGCUUCCACCAAAAGGUUUUUGUCAACAGGAAUCUGACACUGGAAAAUGUCACUUGCUAUGGCUUUGACAUGGACUACACGCUCGCUAUGUACAUCUCUCCGGACUACGAGAGCCUGGGCUUUGAGCUUCUGAGGGACAGAAUGGUGUCGGUGGGCUACCCUCAUGAGGUCCUGCGCUACACCUAUGAUCCCACAUUCUCUACAAGGGGUCUGGUGAUGGACACCACCUAUGGGAACCUUCUGAAGGUGGACUCCAACGGGAACAUUCUGGUGUGCAGUCACGGCUUCGCUUUCCUCAAAGGAGAGGAGAUCAAUCGAUAUUAUCCCAACAACUUCAUUCAGAGGGACGAUACAGACCGUUUCUACGUCCUCAACACACUCUUCAACCUUUCAGAGACAUAUCUUUAUUCUUGCCUUGUGGACUUCUUCACCAACUGUAACAGAUACAAAAACGUGCUGAAAGGUCAUCACCAUGGCGACCUGUUCAUGUCGUACAGAAGUAUGUUCCAGGAUGUUAGAGACGCCAUGGAUUUCAUUCACGACACGGGAGUCCUGAAGGAGCAGACCCUGAAGAACCUGGACAAGUACGUCAACAAAGACCCGAACAUUGCUGUGUUGCUGAGUCGAAUCAAAAACGUGGCCAAAGUCUUCCUGGCCACCAACAGCGACUAUAUGUACACAGAGGCCAUCAUGAAAUACCUGCUAGAAAGUCCCACCAAGUCUGGAGGUCCCAAAAAGCCCUGGCGCUCCUUCUUCGACCUUGUGGUGGUGGACACCAGGAAGCCUCUGUUCUUCGCAGAGGGGACGGUACUGAGACAAGUGGACACGGUAGGACACUGGCGCUCCUUUCAGUGGGAACUGUUUCACACCUCCAUGUUUGGGACGCAGGACAAGGGCAAACUGCGUAUUGGCACCUACACUGGCGCCCUGCAGCAUGGAACCGUCUACUCUGGAGGAUCGUCGGACCUCGUGUGCGACCUGCUGGGCGUGAGAGGGAAAGACAUCCUUUAUGUCGGAGAUCACAUCUUUGGAGACAUCCUCAAGUCGAAGAAACGGCAGGGUUGGAAAACCUUCUUGGUGAUCCCAGAACUCACCAAGGAACUCAGCGUGUGGGAGGAGAAGAAAAAUUUCUUUGAAGAGCUGAAGGGUCUCGACGUCUUCCUAGCUGACCUGUACAAGCACCUGGACGGCAGCGGUAGGACUGCUCAUGACAUUCCCACCAUUCAGUCCAAACUAAAGAUGCUUACGCUAAGGAUGGACAUGUCUUACUGCCAGAUGGGAAGUGUUCUUCGUAGCGGCUCCAGACAGACAUUGUUUGCAAGUCAGCUGAUGCGUUAUGCUGACAUUUACUCUUCUAGCUGCCUCAACCUGCUGCAUUACUCUUUGGAUUUCUUCUUCAUGGCCCCUCCAGUGCUGAUGCCUCAUGAGGCCACAGCACUCAACUCUGUGGACUUUCCUCCCAAGAAGAUCAGCAACUGAGAACAGGCGCACAGCUGUCAAAAAGGCAGCUGUGAUGUUGGCUCCUCCAUUGGCUUCUCUCAGAAACACUGGCGUUCACCGCAGCCCUCCGACUUCCAGCGAUGAAGACAAGCGUGCCGCAUGAGAAAGACAUAAAGAUGGGUCGAAAGUAGUUUUACCUGCAGAAUGCUGAAGAAUUGUUUAGUGGCAGCCAUGAUGGACACAACUCAACCUUUUGCUCUCCUUGCUGGAUUAAAGCUGCUAUGCACCCUUGAACCAAUAAAUAUGUUGUCCAGUGAAAA